RNAcentral lists this ribosomal RNA (127 nucleotides) under Melampsora larici-populina 98AG31. RNAcentral describes it as "eukaryotic small subunit ribosomal RNA". It matches the Rfam family "Eukaryotic small subunit ribosomal RNA", at positions 986 to 1112 of the family's 1831-position model. Lineage: Eukaryota; Fungi; Basidiomycota; Pucciniomycetes; Pucciniales; Melampsoraceae. The record is from RNAcentral.
AAGGUUAGGGGCUCAAAAACAAUCAGAUACUGUUGUAGUCUUAACAGUAAACUAUGCCGACUGAGGAUCAGACAAGGCUUUAUAUAAUGACUUGUUUGGCACUCAAAGGGAAACCUAAAGUUUAGGU